RNAcentral lists this ribosomal RNA (323 nucleotides) under uncultured eukaryote. Its description in RNAcentral is "partial 18S ribosomal RNA". It matches the Rfam family "Eukaryotic small subunit ribosomal RNA", at positions 1470 to 1796 of the family's 1831-position model. The record is from RNAcentral.
CCCUUAGAUGUUCUGGGCUGCACGCGUGCUACACUGAUAUUGCCAAUAUGUCAUUCUUAUCCGAAAUGGAUUGGGUAAUCAGGUAAUGAAAUUUCAUGCUUGGAAUCGGUAAUUGCAAUUUUAUCGUGAACGAGGAAUUCCUAGUAAGCACUAGUCAUCAGCUAAUGUUGAUUAUGUCCCUGCCCUUUGUACACACCGCCCGUCGCUACUACUGAUUGGGUGUUCAAGUGAGAUGCUUAGACCCUUGUUGCAUGGUUCAUUAUUGUGCUCCGAAAGGAAAAAGUUUCAAGCUUGAGUGUCUAGAGGAAGUAAAAGUCGUAACA